ACGUUUGGAGGGCGCAUGCGCCCUGCUGGACUGCCUUGUUGAGGUUUAGGUAUUCCGUGGUUGAGGUCCGCGGUUCCGUGGUGUAUGCUUGUGUUGGGUGGUUCUGCUCCACGCCGGAGUUUGCAAAUCUGUGUAGGAGGCAGCUGCUGCAUUUGGGACUCUCGGGAUGUCUGCUUUCUGUUACCUUGCAAUACAGUUGUGUAUGCAUUUAUAUUCACUCCCUAGACUAGACGGUGGAAUUUAAGAGGGCAAGACCCUGCACUUACACGCCUGGGAUUGACACGGGAAAUCGGACCCUUAGAUUCAGACCCACUCCCCAGAGGAAGCAAAGGGAACAUGCAGGGAAGACUGCCUUGUAGCUGCCCAGGUCUCUUUCUCAGCCCCUUCCUCACUGCCUCUUGCACCAGGCUCUGGGAGAGAACAGCGAGACAGAACCUAGACUCUCCAGGACUACAAUCACCUAUUACCAUCCCUUUGUCUUGCAACUGGGGAAUCAGAGGUCCAGAGAGGGGAAAGGACUCAGCCAAGGUCAUACAGUGCUGUCUUUAGCUCUACAGAUACAGCAGAGAACAAAGGAGAAUUGGCCUUGCCCAAGUGGAGCUAAAGUCUCUUCUGGAACCUGAACGAAAGCCCCCAUGAAGACAGAGGUUCUGUCUCUCUCAUCCACGGCUGCAGCACCAGGAGCCACAGCAGAGCCUGGUCCAUGGUUGACGUUGCUGGGAGCACGGAAGGAGACCAAUCUUCCCUACAGACCAAAGACAAAUUUCUUUUGAAGUACUCUGGAUGGAUAAAAAAUCUGUUCAAAAGAUCAAAGGUGAUUAUUAUUAUUCAAAUUAUUAUUUGAAGAAUACGCUCACCAUGAUCAUACAACUAUUUUUUGAUUUAUGGAAACACAAUUGGUAUUCAACUUUUUAGGAGUAUGUUUAGCGUGUAAAACAAGAACAAAUUGCACGAAGUGAGAGCCCACGUCUGUGUUGUUUCUCACUAAGAUCAGCACCUUUCUGGCCACCUAGUAGGCUUUUGAAUAUCUGUGUGAUUGAUUUCAAUACUGGAAUAUGUUUUCUGUUAAAUCUCAAGGGCAUCAGUUCUGCAGUUCUCCCUUUAUAGUUGUUAACAUGAAUUUUGAUGACACGAAAAA
Molecule: long non-coding RNA, 1138 nt
Organism: Herpailurus yagouaroundi (jaguarundi)
Lineage: Eukaryota; Metazoa; Chordata; Mammalia; Carnivora; Felidae
Exons: 5
Source: RefSeq, a predicted model, not a curated record